Molecule: ribosomal RNA, 403 nt
Filed under: uncultured Lachnospiraceae bacterium
Lineage: Bacteria; Bacillati; Bacillota; Clostridia; Lachnospirales; Lachnospiraceae
Description: bacterial SSU rRNA
Rfam family: Bacterial small subunit ribosomal RNA
Source: RNAcentral
GUGGGGGAUAUUGGACAAUGGGGGGAACCCUGAUCCAGCGACGCCGCGUGAGUGAAGAAGUAUCUCGGUAUGUAAAGCUCUGUCAGCAGGGAAGAAAGAAAUGACGGUACCUGACCAAGAAGCCCCGGCUAACUACGUGCCAGCAGCCGCGGUAAUACGUAGGGGGCAAGCGUUAUCCGGAAUCACUGGGUGUAAAGGGAGCGUAGACGGUUGUGCAAGUCUGGAGUGAAAGGCGGGGGCCCAACCCCCGGACUGCUCUGGAAACUGUGUAACUGGAGUGCAGGAGAGGCAGGCGGAAUUCCUGGUGUAGCGGUGAAAUGCGUAGAUAUCAGGAGGAACACCGGUGGCGAAGGCGGCCUGCUGGACUGUAACUGACGUUGAGGCUCGAAAGCGUGGGGAGCAA